AACGAACGCUGGCGGCAGGCCUAACACAUGCAAGUCGAACGAAACCUUCGGGGCUAGUGGCGGAUGGGUGCGUAACGCGUGGGAACCUGCCCUUAGGUUCGGAAUAACUCCGGGAAACUCGUGCUAAUACCGAAUGUGCCCUUCGGGGGAAAGAUUUAUCGCCUUUAGAUCGGCCCGCGUCUGAUUAGCUAGUUGGUUGGGGUAAUGGCUCACCAAGGCGACGAUCAGUAGCUGGUCUGAGAGGAUGAUCAGCCACAUUGGGACUGAGACACGGCCCAAACUCCUACGGGAGGCAGCAGUGGGGAAUCUUGCGCAAUGGGCGAAAGCCUGACGCAGCCAUGCCGCGUGAAUGAUGAAGGUCUUAGGAUUGUAAAAUUCUUUCACCGGGGACGAUAAUGACGGUACCCGGAGAAGAAGCCCCGGCUAACUUCGUG
RNAcentral lists this ribosomal RNA (434 nucleotides) under uncultured bacterium. Its description in RNAcentral is "partial 16S ribosomal RNA". It matches the Rfam family "Bacterial small subunit ribosomal RNA", at positions 29 to 507 of the family's 1533-position model. The record is from RNAcentral.